RNAcentral lists this ribosomal RNA (554 nucleotides) under uncultured archaeon. RNAcentral describes it as "bacterial SSU rRNA". It matches the Rfam family "Archaeal small subunit ribosomal RNA", at positions 326 to 879 of the family's 1478-position model. The record is from RNAcentral.
CGGGGUGCAGCAGGCGCGAAAACUUUACACUGUUCGACACUACGAUGGGGUUAUUUCUGAGUGCCAUGAUACAAUCUUGGCUUUUCUCUAUGCCUAAUAUCCAGUGCAAAUCAGAGGCCGGCCAAAAUCGUUUCCACCCCCCCCGUUAACCCCGCCCCUUCAAUUGUUAACCCUUUUUAUUGGUUCUAAACGUUCUGUACCCGGUUGAAUCAUUCUCUUGUAAAUUCCGACUCCUUAACUUUCGAGUUGUCAUGAUAUACUGUCCCUCUCGAGACCGAUAGAUGUGAGAUGUACUUCAUGGGUAGGGGUGAAAUCUUGUAAUCCUUGAAAGACCACCAGUGGCGAACGCCUCUCACCAAAACGGAUCUCACUGCAAGGGACAAAAUCUAGGGGCACGAACCAGAUUAUAUACCCGGGUACUCCUAUCCGUAAACAAUCUCUCUAGGUGUCGGCCACGGUGCGACCGUGGUCGGUGCCGUAGGGAAGCCGUGAAUCGAGCCACCUGGGAAGUACGGCCGCAAGGCUGAAACUUAAAGGAAUUGGCGGGGGAGCAC